GUGGUAGCUUUGACAGCCCAGGUGCUAAAAUUAGAACAGCGCAGAGAAGAUCUUGGCUCUUGCCCCAGGAUGGCAUGUAAAUUCAUGAGGCAUCCUGUAUUUUU
RNAcentral lists this small nuclear RNA (104 nucleotides) under Panthera leo (lion). The record is from RNAcentral. Lineage: Eukaryota; Metazoa; Chordata; Mammalia; Carnivora; Felidae. RNAcentral also lists the same sequence under 2 other names.